Molecule: ribosomal RNA, 1491 nt
Filed under: metagenome
Description: bacterial SSU rRNA
Rfam family: Bacterial small subunit ribosomal RNA
Source: RNAcentral
AGAGUUUGAUCCUGGCUCAGGAUGAACGCUGGCGGCGUGCUUAACACAUGCAAGUCGAACGAAGCACUUUAUUUGAUUUCUUCGGAAUGAAGAUUUUGUGACUGAGUGGCGGACGGGUGAGUAACGCGUGGGUAACCUGCCUCAUACAGGGGGAUAACAGUUGGAAACGACUGCUAAUACCGCAUAAGCGCACAGGGUCGCAUGACCUGGUGUGAAAAACUCCGGUGGUAUGAGAUGGACCCGCGUCUGAUUAGCCAGUUGGUGGGGUAACGGCCUACCAAAGCGACGAUCAGUAGCCGACCUGAGAGGGUGACCGGCCACAUUGGGACUGAGACACGGCCCAAACUCCUACGGGAGGCAGCAGUGGGGAAUAUUGCACAAUGGGGGAAACCCUGAUGCAGCGACGCCGCGUGAGCGAAGAAGUAUUUCGGUAUGUAAGGCUCUAUCAGCAGGGAAGAAGAAAUGACGGUACCUGACUAAGAAGCACCGGCUAAAUACGUGCCAGCAGCCGCGGUAAUACGUAUGGUGCAAGCGUUAUCCGGAUUUACUGGGUGUAAAGGGAGCGCAGGCGGUACGGCAAGUCUGAUGUGAAAGCCCGGGGCUCAACCCCGGUACUGCAUUGGAAACUGUCGGACUAGAGUGUCGGAGGGGUAAGUGGAAUUCCUAGUGUAGCGGUGAAAUGCGUAGAUAUUAGGAGGAACACCAGUGGCGAAGGCGGCUUACUGGACGAUUACUGACGCUGAGGCUCGAAAGCGUGGGGAGCAAACAGGAUUAGAUACCCUGGUAGUCCACGCUGUAAACGAUGAAUACUAGGUGUCGGGGAGCAUUGCUCUUCGGUGCCGCAGCAAACGCAAUAAGUAUUCCACCUGGGGAGUACGUUCGCAAGAAUGAAACUCAAAGGAAUUGACGGGGACCCGCGCAAGCGGUGGAGCAUGUGGUUUAAUUCGAAGCAACGCGAAGAACCUUACCAAGUCUUGACAUCCCGAUGACAGAACAUGUAAUGUGUUUUCUCCUCGGAGCAUCGGUGACAGGUGGUGCAUGGUUGUCGUCAGCUCGUGUCGUGAGAUGUUGGGUUAAGUCCCGCAGCGAGCGCAACCCCUAUUCUUAGUAGCCAGCGGUUCGGCCGGGCACUCUAGGGAGACUGCCAGGGAUAACCUGGAGGAAGGUGGGGAUGACGUCAAAUCAUCAUGCCCCUUAUGACUUGGGCUACACACGUGCUACAAUGGCGUAAACAAAGGGAAGCGAGCCUGCGAGGGGGAGCAAAUCUCAAAAAUAAUGUCUCAGUUCGGACUGCAGUCUGCAACUCGACUGCACGAAGCUGGAAUCGCUAGUAAUCGCGAAUCAGAAUGUCGUGGUGAAUACGUUCCCGGGUCUUGUACACACCGCCCGUCACACCAUGGGAGUUGGUAAUGCCCGAAGUCAGUGACCUAACCGCAAGGAGGGAGCUGCCGAAGGCAGGAUCGAUAACUGGGGUGAAGUCGUAACAAGGUA